Molecule: long non-coding RNA, 324 nt
Organism: Thalassophryne amazonica
Lineage: Eukaryota; Metazoa; Chordata; Actinopteri; Batrachoidiformes; Batrachoididae
Exons: 3
Source: RefSeq, a predicted model, not a curated record
UCUUAUCUAUGUUGUCCAGGUGAACUGCGUGCCUCACCUGGUGCCUUUUUGCAGCUGCUUUGUGAUCCCUCAGCACACGAAACACGUUACACAUACAGCUGUUGACAAAAAACACUGUAUUAUGUACAUCAGCUAAACCGUGGAAUUUAAGUUCAUGUAACCAAAGUGUUUGAACAUUUUAAUGCCAACAUACAGAGAGACAGUGAGACAGUCUCACUGCACAGCAUUCCAGCAGUUAGCCCAGUGAUUGUGCAAUCCAUGGUGAGGCACAGCAGGCUGCUGCCUCACCGCACGUCUCUUCUCAGUAUUUGAACUGCAAUUGUG